RNAcentral lists this ribosomal RNA (435 nucleotides) under uncultured bacterium. RNAcentral describes it as "partial 16S ribosomal RNA". It matches the Rfam family "Bacterial small subunit ribosomal RNA", at positions 28 to 507 of the family's 1533-position model. The record is from RNAcentral.
GAUGAACGCUGGCGGUAUGCUUAACACAUGCAAGUCGAACGGACUCUUCGGAGUUAGUGGCGGACGGGUGAGUAACGCGUGAGAAUCUGGCUUUGGGUUCGGGACAACCACUGGAAACGGUCGCUAAUACCGGAUGUGCCGAGAGGUAAAAGAGAAAUUGCCUGAAGAUGAGCUCGCGUCUGAUUAGCUAGUUGGUGAGGUAAAGGCUCACCAAGGCAGCGAUCAGUAGCUGGUCUGAGAGGAUGACCAGCCACACUGGGACUGAGACACGGCCCAGACUCCUACGGGAGGCAGCAGUGGGGAAUUGUCCGCAAUGGGCGAAAGCCUGACGGAGCAAUACCGCGUGAGGGAAGAAGGCUCUUGGGGUGUAAACCUCUUUUCUUAGGGAAGAACAAAAUGACGGUACCUAAGGAAUCAGCAUCGGCUAACUCCGUG